Molecule: ribosomal RNA, 254 nt
Filed under: uncultured bacterium
Lineage: Bacteria
Description: partial 16S ribosomal RNA
Rfam family: Bacterial small subunit ribosomal RNA
Source: RNAcentral
UACGUAGGGGGCAAGCGUUGUCCGGAUUUAUUGGGCGUAAAGAGCGUGUAGGCGGCCUGGAAGGUCAGCUGUGAAAACUCGAGGCUCAACCUCGAGACGUCGGUUGAAACCACCUGGCUAGAGUCCGGAAGAGGAGAGUGGAAUUCCCGGUGUAGCGGUGAAAUGCGCAGAUAUCGGGAAGAACACCCGUGGCGAAGGCGGCUCUCUGGGACGGUACUGACGCGUGAGACGCGAAAGCGUGGGGAGCGAACAGG